Molecule: long non-coding RNA, 1810 nt
Organism: Cylas formicarius (sweet potato weevil)
Lineage: Eukaryota; Metazoa; Arthropoda; Insecta; Coleoptera; Brentidae
Exons: 2
Source: RefSeq, a predicted model, not a curated record
AUUAAGCGGUUGUCAGAGAAUGAGAUUCGUUGGAAACAUAAACAGCGUUUUGGUUAGGUUUGGUUAGGAAAGCGUGUGCGCGAUUCGUUAGAUCGGUAAAAUUCGAUUGAUAAAAAAAUUUUGGCUUAUUUGAACUUUUUCUUAAGAAGCGUGUGAAAGUUAGGAGGAUGAGUAGGCAGUAUUGACUACUCAGAUUACAACGAUAUUUUUAAAGAUAUACUAUACUAGAGGGAAUCGGUUCAAAAUAUAAACCGAGAAGUGGUAGAUUUCGUCAAUGCGCAAUAUUUAGGUACAGAUUCGGCAAAUGAAGACUAGUUUUGAAUUAAAAGGCUAUCUUGCUUUACAUGAUAUCAGAUUAAAUGAGAAAGUAAGUUUUGCCUAAUGGCAACAAACUUUUCCGCAAUUGUAGAGACUGACAUAAAUUCAGUGAACAGCUAAAAUAUGGAAGAAAUUUAUUUUAAAAUGAGGUUUUUACGUCAUAACAUUUUCUUGCCCAUUUUUUGCAUUAAACAGGAAACAGGGCCUGUAAAACAUCGUCUACCGUUAAGUGGUCCAAAAACUAAUGAGAACCCAAGGCUAUACAUUUUAUUAAUAGUUGAGGAUGAACCUAAUCAUGUAUCUUUUGAGGUAACGUAUAUGUUAGCCAAUCAAAAGCUUUGCAAGUAUUAAAAAUUAUUGGACCUCCCAAUCUAACUGGACCCCAAAUAUUUACAAUUUCUUUAAACUGACUUCUCUUCUCUACUAGUUUCUUUCCCAAAUUCAAAAUUUUACAUUGGUAAGAAAAGAUGCAAGAUAGAUGGCCUGCAAUAUCACCAGAUAUUAAUGCAGUGGAUUUUUGCUCUGUGGAUAUUUAAAAUUGAAAGUAUUUAAGGAAAAACCACAGAAAUAAGGCAAAUUAAUAAAAAUAUGUUGGGUAAUGUUUUGGAAAAGUUUUUAAACCAAUUAGCAUAUUGAUGAGGAAGUUUAAUGGUAUUUUAUUAUUAUUUAUUAUAUUAAUAUAGUUAUUUAUAUAAAAUAAGUAGUAGUGGUUUACAUUAAAAUAACCUCUUUUAAAGCUUUAAGAAGGAAUGUGGAAAAUAUAUACAAAAUAAGCUGUAGUACUUGAAUAAUGUACAGGGUGUUCCAAUUAAUGUUACCUACCCCCUUAUGUCACGAACGAUAGGAUUUUUAAUUUUUUUUUAAUUGCAAACUGAACAUCCUGAAUAUUAUUGGAUUAUUUUGGGUUCCCCAGAAAAUGGUAGACAGUUUUGAAUAAUUAACAAAAUUUUUCUCAUAAGGGAUACUUAAUUAUUUAGUUUUGGAAAAUGUAGUACAAAAAUUAAACGGUAAAAAACGUAAAAUGUAUUUUUUUUCGAUCUGGCAUUAAAAAUUAAGCCGACUUUGUAUAAGAUUGUGUAUACAAAUUGUAUUUUUCUCAAAGACACCAUUUUUGUUGAGGUUUGAUCAGGAUAUCUGAAUUUAUUAACAAGAGUACUAUAAACCAUUUUUUUAUGACUCGAAUUAAUUAAAACGGUCUCACGAACGCCACUGGUUGAAGAGAAAUAAGUGUUGAUCCAUGCCGUCAAUUUUUCCUUAUUCCUUCAAAUCUAUAACGAAUUUUUGGACAUAACCUUACGGUGAAGUUUCUUUAGUAUAAUUUGGACUGCCCUGUAUAUAAACAUUGCCUUUUAUUUAUCAAUUUACAAUUAAAAUUUUGUAGUCAGGUUUUAAUAGUAUUUUUGUCACUUUAUAAUUGUUUUUUCACUUUAUUUCCUUAACAUUUUGCUUUUUCCAACGAAAAUUUUAUUCUAUUAAAAGUUUUAUUCAGAAA